Molecule: ribosomal RNA, 573 nt
Filed under: Salmonella enterica
Lineage: Bacteria; Pseudomonadati; Pseudomonadota; Gammaproteobacteria; Enterobacterales; Enterobacteriaceae
Description: partial 23S ribosomal RNA
Rfam family: Bacterial large subunit ribosomal RNA
Source: RNAcentral
AGACCCGAAACCCGGUGAUCUAGCCAUGGGCAGGUUGAAGGUUGGGUAACACUAACUGGAGGACCGAACCGACUAAUGUUGAAAAAUUAGCGGAUGACCUGUGGCUGGGGGUGAAAGGCCAAUCAAACCGGGAGAUAGCUGGUUCUCCCCGAAAGCUAUUUAGGUAGCGCCUCGUGAAUUCAUCUCCGGGGGUAGAGCACUGUUUCGGCUAGGGGGCCAUCCCGGCUUACCAACCCGAUGCAAACUGCGAAUACCGGAGAAUGUUAUCACGGGAGACACACGGCGGGUGCUAACGUCCGUCGUGAAGAGGGAAACAACCCAGACCGCCAGCUAAGGUCCCAAAGUCAUGGUUAAGUGGGAAACGAUGUGGGAAGGCCCAGACAGCCAGGAUGUUGGCUUAGAAGCAGCCAUCAUUUAAAGAAAGCGUAAUAGCUCACUGGUCGAGUCGGCCUGCGCGGAAGAUGUAACGGGGCUAAACCAUGCACCGAAGCUGCGGCAGCGACACUAUGUGUUGUUGGGUAGGGGAGCGUUCUGUAAGCCUGUGAAGGUGGCCUGUGAGGGUUGCUGGAGGUA